Molecule: long non-coding RNA, 202 nt
Filed under: Prunus persica (peach)
Lineage: Eukaryota; Viridiplantae; Streptophyta; Magnoliopsida; Rosales; Rosaceae
Description: long non-coding RNA (PPER_LNC002272)
Source: RNAcentral
GAAAGAAGAAUAAAAUAAGGGUUGUAUUCAAUUAUUAUUCUAGAGCAUUUAAAAAGAUUUUGUUUAAGUGCCACCUUUCAUAGAACUUGAUGGAAAUUUAGAAUUUGUAUAGAACUUGAUAGACUUUCAGAAGACUUCUAUAUAAUUUUUUAAUAAACUUUCUUAAUAUUUGUAUGGCUUUUAUUCUAGACUUCAAAUUCAG